Molecule: long non-coding RNA, 15320 nt
Filed under: Malus domestica (apple)
Lineage: Eukaryota; Viridiplantae; Streptophyta; Magnoliopsida; Rosales; Rosaceae
Description: long non-coding RNA (MDOM_LNC010600)
Source: RNAcentral
CGGCAAAAACUCAAAAGAUAACAGCAUCUGCAGAGAUGGCAUCCAUGACCAUGACAGCCGCCUCAUUCCUGACCGCAGGCUCAGCCUCAACCAUCGCCAAACCUUCAACUUCCAGCCGCCGGAGCCUCGUCGUAGCCAAGGCCGCCGCCAGAGCCCCAGAGGGAGAAACAAAGAAAGAAGAGAGCAGCAGCAGCAGCGGGAGGAGGGACUUGAUUUUUGCGGCUGCGGCUGUGGCGGCGUGCUCUCUUGCCAAGGCUGCUUUGGCGGAUGAGCCUAAGAGGGGGAGCAAAGAGGCAAAGGAGAAGUAUGCUCCUGUUUGUGUCACCAUGCCAACUGCUCGUAUCUGUCGCAACUGAGUAAACCACUACGUACUUUCAUUUGCUUUGAUUCAGUCACUCGUGGUGGUUGUAUUAUAAUCGUUCUACAACUUUGUAUGAUGCUCUUGUAAUUUUUCUUGGGACAGAUCUGCCUUCUUCCCUCUUCUCAUAUUACAUGUUUAUGUCACUUUUUAUUUUUCUAAAUUUUCUAUGUUGUUAACUGUGCGGAGAGAGCAAAGGGUCUGGUAGCUCAAGUGGUUUAAAACGCAUUUGAACCAAGGGCUUUUGCAUUAAAAAACAACAUGCGGCACAUAAAGAUUCUGGAAUCAAAUUCACUACUUUAGGUAUUGGAAAAGUGAUGAUUUCUAUAGUCCAACUGUAGAACAAAGUUCUACUAUGUCAUCGAUAAUGUGUCAAUAACAUUGUAACUAGCAAAACGUACCGACAUAUUAUCAAUAUAUAAUAUCAAUAAUAGCAAACGAAAAGACAACGUGCAUAUAAGUACAAACCAGCAAACAUAUUACCUUUCUUGAACAGCAUGCAAUCCUCAUGUGGUAUGAUUAUGGCUCUAGCAUUAUGGCAGAGCUUCGUAUUUUAGUUGGUAAUUUUGUAGUCCAACUAUGAAACAAACAUUCGUUCUAGCAAUAUGUCAUUGAUAUGAUGUUUUAGCAGUGUAGUCAACAAAACAUAUUGGGAUAUAUUAUCAACAAUAUUGAUGAAAGAAUGGACAUCUUACACCGAGGAUUUAUGAUAAGUUAUGCGCCCCAAAAGAUGGGCUAGAAUGCUGCAAGGCCCUUGGUCGUGUGGUACUUGCUAGUUGCUACAUACUAGUGAGCAGAGACUCCUUUCAGAAACCUAUACCACCACUCCUCGCCAAAAGGACCGACGCGGCAACACCAGUCAAAUUGCAAACCGCAGCAGCAAUCUAUGGAAUCUAAACACCUAGUCCGGCUUGUCUGGAUCGAACAUAUUGAGUUAAAUUUUCUUGCCAUGGGUUUAUAUGACUCUUUACGUGAUAAGAGAGAGAGAGAGAGCAAUGAUAUACAACCCCGAUAGGUACGUAUUUUACAGGUCCAGGUAUGUCAAAAAAAAAAAAAAAACUGUAAGUCAAGAACCAACUGCGAUCCUCCGUUGUUGAACAGCUUCACAUAAUAUACAUUCUAACUUUUUUUCUUUCGGAUUGAGAGAAUCAGUUGAAAACAUGCGAACAAUCUAAACAGCCGAAAACCGAGAUUUUAUUAAACCAUAACAAUAAUUAAGGAACAGGACUUUAGCCCGAAUACAGGAAACACAAAUCCAAGACACAAAACUUGGAGAGAGAAUCAGGGACCAAAUCCAAGACACAAAACUUCGAUACAAAAUAGUACCAAAUCCAGCCCCCAUUUCGAGUAGCAGCUUGGAGAGAGAAUCAGGGACAUUGUCCAUCAUUCGCCUUGGCAACUUUGCCCGGCAGCAUAAAAGACUGCAACACAAUUUUCGUGGCAAACUCAUUGGCUUUUCCCAUUGUGCUGGGAAGCAACAAAAUUGCGAAUAACUUCCAUUGCUAACUGGUGAGCAUUCUUAUUCUGCAGCUUUGCAAGUUCAUCCACAGCUUCAUACGUUUCCUUAUCAGCAAAAAGUUUCAAGUUGUAACGUGUUGGUGAUGCCUCUGGACCUUCCCAUUUGUCAACCAACUCUUGAAGUUUCUCAAAUCCCUGAUAACAAUAUACCAAUUAGAAUGACCAACAUAUUUUCUUAACACAGUAUUUGAGAUUAAACCACCUUCUUAAUCCUUCGAAGGCCUACAUAUAAUUUAAAAUCUAAUUUAUAACUUACCAAGCGGUUUGUGAAGUUGCCAAAUGACUCUUUAGAUUGUCGUUUACGUUUCCAGUAAUAGAACAAAGGUUCGAAAACCUUUUCAAGGUCUUGAACCUUGACCUUGUUCAUGAAGGAUUUUGCGAGUGAGGUUUGAUUGGAUGUUCCUCCAAGCCAGAUCUAUUUGAACACAAACAGAAAUGAAUAAACGCUCAGUUGCUUUCUUGAUAAUCUGGAUUUGAGCACGAUCAAUAUUGCAACGGAUGUGCCAGAAUUUGAAUUACCUGAUAGCUAUUUGGACCAUCACCAACUAGUCCAAGUUCAGCCAUGUAUGGCCUAGCACACCCAUUAGGGCAUCCAGUAAUCCUUAUAACUACUGAUUCAUUGUACUUCAGACCAACCUGAAAUUCAAAAGAAAAAUUUAUCACAUGCAAUCUAAUUCGUUAUCAAUAAAUGAUCUUGAUUUUCCACCUUUUGUUGGUGCUUUGUGAAAUGUGCUUGUUAUUAUGGUAAUACCUUCUCAAAUACUGCUCGAACCCGCUUAAGAAUGUCAGGUAUACCUCGUUCAGCUUCAGUUAUUGCCAGUGGGCAUAGUGGGAAGGCUGGGCAUGCCAUGGCAGUUAGGUUGAGGGGGUCUACAAACCUAGGAUGCUGCCACAAUUGUAACUGGUUAGUAUGAACCCAAUUUAUAAAAAUUCAUAAUGUAUGAAACUUUCAUAUAAUAGACACAACAUAUUCCAAACAUUUCCAGAUAGACAACAUAAUAACAGGUGAAUAAGACAAUCCAUCAUACCGGGUUGAUAAGGUUCAAGUUAUUGUUGAUUCAUAGAAUAGGCAGUGAAUACCCGGUAGGAGUAUGCAGCAGACAAGUUCAUAUUGAUGUCCACUGAAGAGGGAGUAAAAAUAAUUUAAAAAAAAAAAAAAUAUCUUACCAGCAGACCGGCCUUUGCAAGAACUGUGGUGAUGGGACGCUUCCAUGCACUGCGAAUAUCACACAAUAUGAUAUUCUGGUUUGGUGUGAGCCUUAUACUCAAAUUAUACUUUUCUAUAACCUCUCUUAAUGCCUGCUUCAUAACUCCUCCAAUCCGACCAUUAUCAACAUGAAGCCCACAAUAAUAACUGCCAUCACCCUAUCAAACAAAGAUAAAUAGUCAUGACAUAGCGCUUUGCAAUUUGAAACUUAAGACGGAAUCAAAGACAUUCAAUUCUAUAUGUGAAGACCAACAGAACGAACCUGCUUGUGCCAUCCCAAAUGACUUUUGAAUUCCCACUCCGGCAACUCACGGAAAGGCUCAAAUUUCUUUCCGUAGUAUUGUUCCACUACACUUCUGAACUUUUCAAUCCCCCACGAGCUGAUCAAAUAUUUCAUCCUACUAUACCUACGAUCAUCUCUUCUCCCAUUUUCACGUUGUGUAACAACUAUAGCCUUAAUGGCAUAUAGGAUAUCCUCUUUGGGGACAUAACCCAAUGGCUCAGCCAGACGGGGAAAAGUGGAUUCCAUCCUGUGUGUCCUUCCCAUACCACCACCAACCUGCAGAGAAAAUAAUCAGAAAUCUUGCUUGUGGAGAAAAUGAGCUCACAUAUAAAUGUUAGUGCAUAACUUCGUCUUACAUAUAGGUUAAACCCUUGAGGCUCCCCGUUAUCAUCAGAAACAACCACAACACCAAUAUCAUUUGUGAGAAUAUCCACCGAGUUGUCUGUUGGCACUGUAACUGCAACUUUAAACUUCCUGGGCAAGAACUGAGUUCCAUAAAUGGGCUCAGGUGAAUCAGGGAAGUUUGUUCCAUGAGAAUUAUCAUUGCGGGCCUUUGUUACUUCAGGAGAUUCUGCAGUCAGGAACUUUUCUCCAUCCACCCAAACAUCGUAGUAAAAUCCAGACUGUGGAGUCAGCAAUGCUGCAAUGUUCUCAGCAGUCUGCUGUGCGCAAAGGUAAUCCUUUCUUUGUAUUGGAGCAGGAGGAGCAAGAACGUUUCUGUUAAGAUCACCACAGGCACCAAGAGUUGAACCCAUGCUUCUAAUGAUGCUACUCAUUACAGUCUUUAGAUCCUUUUUCAGAACCCCAUGGAGCUGAAACGUCUGCCUUGUGGUCAAACGAAGAGUACCAAUUCCAAACUGAUCAGCAAGAUCAUCCAUGGUCAAGUAUAAUUGGUUUGACACUUUCCCACAAGGGUUCUUGGUACGAAGCAUGAAGGAGUAGGACCUUCCACCACGUUCAUCUCGGUUAUAUUGUUGAUAGCUCCCGUGGAACUUAAUGAGUUGCGUAGCAGCCUCAUUAAUGUUCGGGGCAUCCGUCAAAAUCUCUUCAUUAAGAGGGUAUCUGAUGAAGUUGCUCUGUUCUUUGAAUAUUUCAACCUUACUCCGCUUCGUCUCAGUUGCAGUCUCGGCCUUUGGAGGCUGCAAAACACAGAACCUAUGAAAACAAGCACAUUUCCUACAAACAACUAACGAUAAGCAAUCUAACUAAAAUUCGUUCCACAUUUUCCGAUCGCCGAGGCCCCUCGGAGCCCUAAUGUUUCUAACUCAUUUAUCCCAACCAAUUGAUGAAACUCAACAAAAUUACGCAUUUUAUGAAGAUUUGAUGCACUGCGUGUCAAUUAUGAUAAAAGAAUUACGUAAAAAUUAAGCAUAAAAUAGCCAAAAAAAAUGCUUCAACUUUUCUAGGUUAAUUGAAUAAUUCACAUUAAUCCAUGUUCGAUAAACUCGGUAAAACAUUUUGACAGUGGCGGCGGCGGCAGAAAUUUACAAAAUUAAAUUCAAAUAAAAACUAAUAGAGACGAAAUAAGAUCUCCAAUCGGCCAAACAGUUGAACCAAAGCACAUUUUGGCUCAAUCUCUCUCUCAAAAAGCACAUUAAUUUAUCAUCUUUCUCGAAUUUUCUGAGCAACCAAACAGAUGUCUAACAAAAUAGAGAGGAGGAUCAGACGUUCGAAAACGCACCGUAGCGACGGCUCGAAUAAGCGAAGAGGAAGAAACGGAAGAGAGAGGCACUUGUCGGCUUCUGGUGAGGCAAAGCGAGUUUGCUGAGCGCAGCCCCUGGUACCUCCCAAUCUGCACCUUGGGCUCCCCCAGCACCGCCGUGUUCGUAGCUCCGAACGUCGUCGUCGUCGUCAUACCAAUCAAAACGACGGCGCUUCGAGAGGGUUUACGAGUUAGAGAGGAGAGAGAGAGAUAUAAGCUGCUGAGUUGCGUAGUGGAAUUGAGCGGUGUAGAGCGGGCGGAAAAGAGGGUUUUUUCUUCUUAAUUUUUAAUUCACGCGCCUACCACGGGAACGUUUCUGUUUUGGGGACUGGGACGCGGAGGAUUGGUGCGCGUGGAGUUUAUCUGACAGAAAUGCGAAAUCAGAGUUCGAUACCUGGGUUGAUGUUACAUCGAACCUGGACGGAAUUGCGUGUUUUUAUUUCGGUUUCGCUUUUUUGCAUGGUCAAAUGCGUCUGCGGUUCUUGAUAAAUUGGUUGGACGCGUGUGGCAGCCCUACUACUUCUGAAGGGAAGAGAUGCAGAGAUCCAACUUGGCUUUGUUUUGACAAUCACGGGGUAGCCUGGUAGUUAGGAAUAAAUUUCAGGCCCAUAUCCACACGGUAUGAUUUGGAUUUGAUUUUUGGAGUUGGUAAAUCGGAUGAUGGUAGUUAGGAGGAGUUGAGAUGCCUUUGUAUAUUACGGUUUAGUGAUAUUUUUUUUCAUUUGUCAGCGAGAGAUCUUAAGUUUCAUUCUUGUUAAAGGCGAAUUUGAAUCAUAUUAUUGCUGACCCAUUAUAAGGCCAAGUCCACCACUCCUUAGUGUGAAUAAUAUCGUUUGUUUAAAAAAAAUAAAAAAAAUAAAGUUUUUUUUUUUCGUUAGCAAUGCAUGUCAGUCUUUGGGCACAAUUAGAUUUUUAAAAUGCUACUAACAAUUUUAUGUUUUAUGGUUAAAUCUUGAUUUUUAUGUUUUAAACAAAUAUUUAUGGUUAAAUCUAUUUGUCCGUUUGAAGACAUCCGAUAAAAUUGGAACCAGACAAAUAUUUAAUGAAGCAAACUCAACUCCAAAAGAAUACGUGUCAACUCUAAUUAAUUAGGCUCGAGUUGUCCAAUUUUAAUCAGUUGACGAUGCAAAAUAGUUAUCACACCAAUGAGACAAUAUGUAGGUUAACAUGGUUCAAGCUACUUAUUAUCGAGUCAUUUACCUAAUUCGAAACUCCCAUAUCUUAAAUUAUUAUAAUAAUUUCGAACCAUUCAUCUCACUUUAUUAAUAAUAAUUAAAAGAAAUUGGGGUCAAACUAAAAUUGACUUGACUAACAUAUUAAUUUGGUUAUUCAUUGAGGCGUGGUUUGCACAUGACCAUUGAAAGCAUCUUUAAUGGAGAGAUGCAAAUUUAAAAUGAAAAAAAAAACCAUAUUUGUUGUAGGGCUAUUUUAUUGAUGGAAAAGAGAUGGGGAGGGCCAGAGGCGGACAUAGAGAUAAGAGAGAGUUAGAAAAUUCUAUGGUGUGAUUUCUCACUUCAUAAUGCAUUUAUUUAUAGUAAUGUUUGGGCUCAAAAUAAUAUUUUGGGCCGAGCUUAGAGUCGUUCUCGGUCCUGUAACAUUCAUCUAGAAUCUUGUCAUGGGUUGUCCAAUCAAGGUUGGCCGAAUCCUAUUACGAAGAGGAUUGGUUUAGAUAAGGGUGAGGUAGUCAAACCCUAGUGCAACAAGAAGUCUUAAAGCUAAGGAUGCUUAGAAUUAGGGGAUGAAUCUGGUUCGUUAAGGAGCUUGUUUCAAAGUCCUAUAGGGGUUAGGAUUGGCCCAAACCUGAUAAUAUUGGGUUGAUGAGUUCUAAUCCAAGUAAAUUUCUAGUUUAGCCAUAAAGGGUUUCACUGCUAUAAAUAAAAAGGGGAGUGCAUCAUUUAAGGCCUCUUCAAAUCAACACACAAAUUGCCCUGCGCAAGCUUUUCAACAAUCCUGAGAUUUUUUCCUCUCCCCUUUUCUUCUUGCCAACACAUCUUCAGUUUAGAUAGACAGAGCACUGUGAAGGUAGCCAGCAACAUCUUUAGUUUGGAUAGACAACACUGGAGCUGUAGAAUCAGCCGACCAAUGAACACCUUCAGUUUGGAUAGACAGCACUACUUCGAGGCCGACUGGUUAUUUAUCCAAGUCCUGGUCAACAAGGAUUUCAGAGUCCUUGUUGGUAGAGGUCAUCUCAUCAGCAUUCUCGGUGAAGUGAGGUGUUAUCAGGUUACUACAUUCGGCACAUUGAAAGUCGAAUUUGAAAUUAAACUUCGUAAAACUAGCAACCUUGUUUCCAGGCUUUAUCGUAAGAUCAAGAAGUCAACAACACGCCCAAUGCCACAUCAACAUAUUUUACUCCCCGGCCGAACUAGGCUGACGAGUUGGCACGCCCUACACACAACCGAAGGAUGUAGUUAGCUUAUUAAUUACUCGGCGGGACCCAGUGCUAAAGCUACAAAGUUCAUAACCAUUGAAACACGGUCAGUAAAAAAGAAAACAGUCAUAGGUAAGUCAACGACUAAUCUUCCAUAUACAGUCCAAAACCCAUGGCAAGAUGGCUUGUCACAGGCACAUAAUCCUCAUGAUGCUGUAACAACUGAAGCCACAAGUACAACACGCCAAGAAAAGGAAAUUAAUCUCCGUGGUCAGACUCGUGAUGUAGAAAUCCCCACCAAAAUGACAAAAGAUGUUUUUGUUAAAGAACUAGUGGAGGAUUGUGAUGAUGACGAUGAUGAGGCCUCUGGUCCACCAUUUAGAUCUUUUCGCCAACGACAAUUUGAAGAACAAUCUCAGCAAUUUAAGCAAAUGUUCAGCCGAUAGGUCAAAAGCAUACUUGAAGAGAUGCAUGAUAAUAACACUGUGCAUAACAGAUUGUUCGAAGUUCUAGUUAAUAAAGUCCACAAAAUUGGACUAGCCGAUCGACCCAACCAACCUCAUAUUCAAAAGAAUAAUCCUUUGCUAGCGAUAUAGGUCGAUACAGGAUCUGCUCGGCCUAAAAUGAUUGACUUAGAAAAAAAUGGUGAACCAAGCAGCAAAUUGGUCAGAAUCGACCAAGGAGCAGAAACGGCGCCUGUUGACAUGGUCAAAGUCCAGAGAAUGAUUGAUUCGGCUUUAAAAAAGGGGCCAAGUUCCCAAAAUUCAUUCACUCAUAUCCAGCCUUUGUAGAAAGGUUCGAAUAUCCUAAGGGAUUUAAGAUUCUAGACUUUAGCCUUUUCACCAGAGAAUCAUCCUUAUCCUUAAUAGAACACGUGGCUCGAUUCACUUCUCAAUGUGGAGAUGUUAACAGUGAUUUUCAUAAAAUACGACUAUUCAAUUUCUCGUUAACUGGCUCAGUGUUCACAUGGUACAUCAACCUCCCACCCAACUUCAUCCAAAGCUGGGAGGAAUUAGUCAAGAAAUUUCAUAAGCAAUUCUAUUGGCCAGGGAUAGAAAUGUCAGUUUCUUCUUUAGCCAGGAUGGUUCAAUCAUCUAACAAGUCACCAAUGGAAUAUCUUACAAGGUUUAAAUUGGCCAGAAAUUGGUGCCGAAUACCCUUAAUUGAAGUUGAGUUUGUUAGGCUUGCCCUGAAUGGCUUGGAUGUGGAGUACAAAAAGAAAUUCUAGGGGGCAGACUUCCGAGAUAUAUACGAACUAGCUCAACAUAUCGAGCAAUAUGAUUAUUUGCUCCGAGAAGAGAAAAUCUUGAAAUCCCUAACCCGAAGAACAAUCUACAAAAAUCCAACGGUAAGUUAUGCAUCGGCCGAAGGCGUAGUGUCCUAAUAUGCCAGUAUAGAUGCGGCCGAGAUAGUAAUUACCAAACUAUACGUAUGCAAAACAUUAGCUCACGUUAAUUCCAAAGAUGUCAAAACUUGCUCGGCCUCUGUGGAAGCCAUAGUCAAAACGUCAAAGGUCUACACUUUUGACAUUACCAAGGCCGACGCUAUUUUCGACCAGUUGUUACUUGCAAAAAUCGUCAAGCUUUGGCCAUGGAAUAAUAUUCCUAAGGCCGAAGAUUUGAAAGGAAAGACGUUUUGCAAAUACCACAACUCAAACAAGCAUACGACAAAUAAUUGUGUCGUAUUUCGCGAUGCCAUCCAAAGCUAGAUCGACAAUGGAAAACUCAAGUUUCCCAAGAAACCUUAAAUGAUCAUUAACGUUGAUCUUUCCCUCCGACUAUAGUAAGUAUGGUAAAUGCUCAUCUACCCAAGCACAAGAGAAAAGGAAAAGCUGGGUUCAUCCCGAAGCAGUAUGUCCCUAAGCAUAAUUCUCAGCCACGAUUGAAAAUUGAUCUUACUUCGAACGAACCACCCAAAUACUUUCAAACCCAGCUUAUGCCGAGUCAAUGUCGGACUUCAGCAUAGAGGAAACUGAUAGUCCGAUGGUUUUAUAUAGUCGGUGCCAAUUAAACGUCAUCAUAACUGAGCCGAAGGAACAUCCAUUUUGGGUUGAAGCACCGCAACUGGCGCUGUAGCUGUGGCAACAUCUCAAAAAAUGCUCGGUGCAGGCCAACGCUAGAUAGCGACUUGAUUUUGAUUGCGCCAUUUUACAAUGAAGAUUAUUAUGUGCGUAACUCUGGUAGCUUAAGUUCACCCGUGAAAUGUCGAACCUUCAAGCCACCUGAGUCACGCGACCAGUGUUGGUAUAGCUACAACCAAUCUACCGGUGCAUAUACUGUGUUGUUUAAAUCGCAGAAAUGUCGUCACCAAAGAAUAAACUGUAUGGCUAAUUGAUAAGUAGCCUAGGCUACCCCAGCUACCAAAUGGCAACAGAAAGAAAUGGUGGGUAACGAAGAUGACCGACAACCUCCGGCAAUCAUGAUUGAGCUGUUUCAAGGAAAUAAGGUAAUUGAUCCUGAUCUUGAAACCACGGUUGAAGAAUAUGAGAAAUGAAUCAAAUUCCUUCUUCGACCUGGGGAUAUGAAAACUCACCUCGAGCACUUUCAGAAGGAAGUCAAAAGCAAACUUCCUCCGCUACCCCCAUAAGAGCCAUUAAUUAAAGUUAGACAGAAUUGCCACCCAUCGCUUCUUGGUGAGCCUUUGGAAUGCAUGCAGGAGUUUCACAAGAAGCAUUCGGCUAAUGACUUGUAUGGCUUGCCAAAAGCAUGCCAAGAGUUUCUUGAUCUGGUGUUAACCUACCCUAAUGCCAAAUAGAUCAUAAAAAAAUAGUCUGAUUUGGGAAUGAAGGAUAGGUUUCAACAUAUACGCGAAGCCCGAGUUCUCGACUUUGAGGUAGAACCACAUACUGAUAUUAAUAUUGCCGAUCUUUCUUUCUUUCUCAAGGACCUCCAAUAUCUGCGGUACCAUUUUGAAGUUUUCUCAGUCGUUUCCCUCUUCGGCCUUACAACCGAUGAAAAAGAGCGCGUGGCUUUACAAGCGCAAGACCAAAGUCCAAUGUCGAGAGAGUCAGUGGUCAAAAUUUAAAUCGAAACAGCUCCGACAGACAUGCCAUAUAAACGUGUUUUUACUGCAGCUAAAGAUAGGCAAACUUGUAAUGCCCAUGAGCAAGACAUCUUGCCUAAAAAUACAAAGGACAAAGAUCACAACCUGAUGGGCCCUUUGGUCCUCGACAUCUUGGAAAUAGCAUGAUCCAUGUCUUACCUGCAGAAUUCUGGUCGACACAUCCUAACCAAAUUUCCUGGAUUUUGAUGUGAUUAUCGAGGGGGCCACGCAAGUUGAUUUUGUGGUCACCAAAGAAAUUAAGCAAAUAAGCAAAGAGGAUAAACUUAAAGCAUCUCUCGUUGAACUAUUUCCCCGUUCUUCAUCUAUUAAUCUUCAUCACUUGAAGCCGUUGUAUGUCAAGACCCAUAUUGAAGGAUACCCAACUUCCAAAUUUUUUGUCGACUGUGGAGCAACGAUCAACAUCAUGCCCAUUUCUAUCAUGAAAGCAUUACAUCGCUCCAAAGACGAACUCAUUCCAUCAGGGGUAAUCCUGAGUAGCUUUGUCGGCGAUAAAUCUCACACUAAGGGAAUGCUUCCUUUAGAGGUGAAUAUUGCAGGUUGAAAUCACAUGACCAUAUUUUUUAUAGUCGAUUGAGUAUAAUGCAUUGCUUGGUCGUGACUGGAUCCACCAAACUGGCUGUAUCCCUUCGUCAUUAUAUCAAGUCUUUAUCUUUUAGGACAACAAAUCAGUUUUAGUUUAUCUGGCCGACAAUCAGCCGUUCGAAGCUAAUAUGAUUCAAGCUCGCUAUUAUGAUGAUCAUGUUGGCUACAUCACCCUGCAAGGUUUCAAUGAAGAAUGACGACCAACUCGGAUCUUAGUUUAGAAAGCCAUAGAGGUUGGCAUCGAGACUGUUUAGCAGGAUUCAGCAAGACUCGGGUUGGCUAGCCUAAUUGAUGAUCUUGAUGCCUAAUACCAAACAGGAUAAACGCCGGACUACGGUUUCAUCUAUCAUGGAACGCUUGCUGGCUCAUUGGUAUACUAUUUCCAAGCAACCAAAUUCUGGUGUGAACUUAGUAGAGUUCCUCGCCGAAAGAGACAACGGUCCAGUCUUAUCAUUUGAUAAAGUCAAAGAUGCCCUAGCCGAGCUUGAAGACAGUCGACCCCAAGUCAAAGAUCUAUUAGACAAAAUAAAUGUUAGAAUGACCGAUGACCCUCAGCCUUUAUUUAUUAGUUCUUUAUUGUCGUAACCUAUAAAAAUUGAGCUUUGUAAACUGUUCAAAGAAUUUAAACACUGUUUUGCUUGGAGUUACCAUAAGAUGUCUGGCCUGGAUCGAUCACUCGUUAAGCACGAAUUACGUAUCAAGGUUGGUUGUAAACCUUUUCACCAACACUCCGACGAUUCUCGAUCAAAGUUCAGCUUGGCAUAAAAGAUGAAUUCAUUUGACUUUUAAAAGUUAGUUUUAUUCAAACAGCUCGAUAUGUCGAAUGGUUGGCGAAUAUUGUCUCCAGUUUUAAAGAAAAGUGGUGCUCUACGUAUUUGCAUUGAUUUUCGUAAUUUAAACUUAGCAAUCCCUAAAGACGAAUAUACCAUGCCAACUCUAGACUUGUUAAUCAAUGCUGCAGCAACCAUGAGAUAUUAUCUUUCAUGGACGGCCAUGCUGGUUACAACCAAAUUUUCAUUGUUGAGGCAGAUGUCCACAAAACUGCUUUUCAUUGCCCCGAGGCACUCGGGACCUACGAAUGGGUCAUCAUGCCUUUUGAACUUAAGAACAUCGAUGCUACAUAUCAACAUGCUAUUGAUGAUGUUGUGGUCAAAUCGAAGCAUUGCCAAAUACAUUUAGAUGAUUUUUGGCAAACUUUCCUUUGUAUGCGCUAACAUAAUCUUAAAAUGAAUCCUACCAAAUGCACCUUUGGUGUAUCGGCAGACCACUUCUUGGGUUUCCUUGUACAUUAUCGUGGCAUCAAGGUAGAUUAGAAUAAAGCUUGAACGAUCAUUGAUGCUCCACCCUCGACAAUCAAGAAGCAAUUACAAUCCUUACUCGACAAAACCAAUUUCCUUUGCCGUUUCAUUUUUAACUUGGCAGGGGACAUGAAGGCUUUUUCCACGCUCUUGAAACUUAAGAUUCUGACAAAUUCAAAUGGCGCAAAGAACAUCAGGACGCUUUCACGAAAUCAAGGUCUCCCUCACUACCCCACCUGUCCUCGUGUCACCUUGGUACGGUAAACCUCUUAAGUUGUAUAUCUUGGUUGUCGAGGAAUCCAUUGGCUGUCUUCUUCCGCAAGACAACGACAAUGGGCGGGAGCAAGCCAUUUUUUAUCUUAGUUGGAAUCUUAACUCAGCUGAGAUAAAUUAUUCAGCCGUUGAAAAACUUUGUUUGGCUUUGUUUUUCACUAUGUCCAAAUAGGCAUUACAUGCUCCCUUAUGUUACUUAGCUCACCGCCCAGACAGAUGUUAAUCACUAUAUGCUCACUCAGUCGAUAGUAAAAGUCCGAAUUGGAAAAUGGACAAUGGCUUUAUUCGAAUUUAGUUUGCAAUAUGAGCCCCAAAAAGCUGUCAAAUGAUAGGCGCUAGCCAAUUUCUUAGCUCAACAUCGUUCUCCAUACGAUUUUGGGGUCAACAAUGUCAAAAUUGGCAUGGUAGAAACACGUGAUAAUUAUUGGACGAUGUAUUUUGACAGCUCUAGUACCUCGACCUCUGCCGGCAUUAGAAUCGCCAUCCAGUCCCCUGAUUACUACCGAUGGUAUUUUUCUCUCAAGUUGGAUUUUGAUUGUACAAACAAUCAGGGUGAAUAUGAAGCCUUUGUCAUCGACUUUAAUGUCCGUCACGACUUGAAGGUAGCCCACGUGCUCGUCCUCGGUGAUGCAGAACUUGUGAUUAACCAACUUAAUGGGACUUUUUGUUACAUAAGUUGUACUUUGGCGCCUUAUCAUAUGGUUGCCAGCUAUUUAGCCAAAUCAUUUGCAGGCAUUACGUUCAAGCACAUCUUACGAGUUCGAAAUACUAAUGCAGAUGAGUUGGCUCAAAUAGCCUCUGGAACACAACUCCUGUGGGGGCGAAUUGGGCCAGGUCAUACCAGUGAUGCGAUGUCUACACUCGGCCUUGUUUAAUCAACAAGUUCUCCAAUAAGACCAUGUAAUGCGUACAUGAGUUAUGUCCAUACCUUCGUUGUUGGAACUGUUGGAGAUAUACCAAGAAAGUCAAUCUUUGGAAGAAACCUUUCAGGACAAUGUUUAUAUGUGUAGAUAACUCUACUACUGCAAAAGGCAAAGUUACUCAUUAGGACUAUCUCAAUAAACGAUAUACGUCAAAAGUAGUGAAUCCAUGGACAAUGGAUCGAUGGAAGAAGUAAUUUAAUGAUGUUAGACUGCAGAGACCUUCUUCACAUAACCAUAAUGUCCAAAAGGUUCUUGGUCAUAGGAUUGUCAGAGGGAUACUGACAAUACAUAGACAAGUCCAUACUAUAUCCCCUUCAAAUGGGAAGGAUGGAAAGUCUCAAGCCAUUUGUGUAGUGACACUAAGACAAGUAUGUAGAUGCUCAUUAAGGGAAUGAGUUCACUGAACACAAUCAAACGAGAGUACUUACAUGGAGGUCUACUCACAUGUCAAGCAAGUAACUCUACUGGUUAGAAUAAUGUAAGUAAUCCUUUGACCUGAGACAUCAUAGUUGUCUUGGGGAUACGUUGCUAAUCAUUUGAUAAUGAGACGUGACCACAUCUCAUCUUGGAUGUGUUCUAUGCAUUGUUAGGGUCAGUGAGUUAUUCUCAGAGGCAUGUGAAUGAUCAACAAGAGAUCUCUAAUCCUUGUUAUGAGAGGAAAAAUACUCUAAGUUAUGAUUUAGGAAUCUUCGACUGAAGUAUCAAGUGUAAUGAUGAAAGGCGUUCCUCUACAACUCAAUUGAAUCAUAUAACUUAGUAUAAUCACAUUAGAGGUUUGACAUAAAGUAUCCAUACCCUAGUAAUGUGAUUGUGAGUAUUGUAUUAGAGAAGGAUUGAAUUACAUUGUAAUUCCAAGUAAAUAGGUUCUCUGACCAAAUUCCACAUUAGCUUGGGUAGCCAUGAUAUAUGGUUAGAUGUCACUCAUGGCUUGUGGGUUCUUCUAGAUGAUUAAAUAAGUAGUCAUCAAAGAAGAAAAGGAGAAUUAAAAGUAAGUUUUAAUUCACUAAGUGAUUGCGUAAACACUAAUCAAUUGGAUUGACACCAAUCACAUCACUGCCUCGCUAAUUGAAACCUAAAACGAUUGUACACCGAUACACUCGUGUGUUGAGAGAAUUAACAGAUGAAGGAAUUAAUUAAUUGGAUUAAUUAAGUGUUAUGAUUGAUUAGAAUGUCUAAAUAAAUCAUAGAGACGAUAAAAUAUCGUUUUGGGCUUAAAGAAAAGUACGGGUACUUUUGCGUCCAUUGGGCCCAAACCCAUUGGGCUUUUAAUUCAAACACAAAAAUGACUUAAAUUAAUAAAAGCCAAAGCCCAAACUAACACAUAGUGGCCAGCCAUUAGGGUGAGUAAAGGAGGGAGGGUAAAAGUUAAUUGUUAACUUACUUAUCUCACCUUUAUAUUGAAAGAUAGAGGAAAAGGUUCCUUAGGGUUUUUGUGUGAGCUUUUGCUUCAAGGGAAAACAAAAUAUCUCUCUCUCAGACACACACACAAGGCCGGCCACUAAGAGGAGAAAAUAGCUAAUUGUCUCUUCUCCUUUUGGUUAUUCCAACAUCCAUCUCACUACACUAGUGGGUGUGGAUCUUUAGAGGUCUUCUACCUUGGAGACUAGAGGAGAAUCAAAGGAGUUCCAAACCUAUCAAGUUGGAACUUCCAGGAGGAGAGGUCUUGAAGGUGGUCACUUAUUGGACUCAAGUCAAGGUCCAAAGGUAAAAAAAAAACAAAAAAGAAAACAAAAAAAAAAAAA